Molecule: long non-coding RNA, 375 nt
Organism: Bolinopsis microptera
Lineage: Eukaryota; Metazoa; Ctenophora; Tentaculata; Lobata; Bolinopsidae
Exons: 3
Source: RefSeq, a predicted model, not a curated record
UCGGACGACCCACUUUCUUAAAUGAGCCUAAGGAGUAUGCUUUGGAUUUAAAAAGGCAUCAGGACAAACCCGAGUCUAACGAAGCAGUAACAAUCGCUGAAUUCGAGCCGGACAGAGUACCUUUCACUUUCACAGCGGGUUCCGGUGACAGAUACUACGAGUUUGCCAAUGAUAGGCUGGACAGUAACCAGUAUUACGGUGUAUUUAUUGUCGGGGUUGUCUAUCUUUCUCCAGGGAAAAAGGUGCAUCUGACUACGGGUUGGGUUGAAGACGCUCAUUCUCCAGGACGACCCACCUAUUUCUUGACGAAGAAGGGAGUAGGGCUUACUGUACCCAUCUUUGUGCUCCUCAGUAUCGUUUGUUACCUUCGGCGGU